UUUUUCCCCACCUAGUUUUUAGUAAAUAAAUAAAUAGGUUUUAAUUCUACAAUUUCUAAACUUAACAAGAACCAAGUCCUUGGAUUGAUCCCUAGUCAGCCCUAUAUUACAUUAGUGGGGAUUAGGUUUGUUGACUUUUGUGCGAUCAAAAGCCUUUCAACACACAACGCUAAACAACUUACAAGUCAAAGUGUUGAAAGAGACUUAUGUUGAACACGUAAUCUAUAUUGUACCUAAUGGUAUUCAGUUGAACUCUUAAAAAGCAAAAAGAUUUCGAGACAGUGUCUCUAACCAAACCCUCUAAAGGACUUAAACAAAGAUUGAAAACUUAUAAAAUAA
Molecule: long non-coding RNA, 339 nt
Filed under: Vigna radiata
Lineage: Eukaryota; Viridiplantae; Streptophyta; Magnoliopsida; Fabales; Fabaceae
Description: long non-coding RNA (VRAD_LNC008798)
Source: RNAcentral